GACGAACGCUGGCGGCGUGCCUAAUACAUGCAAGUUGAGCGCUGACGGCUGGUACUUGUGCCAACUGGAUGAGCAGCGAACGGGUGAGUACCGCGUGGGGAAUCUGCCUUUGAGAGGGGGACAACAUUUGGAAACGAAUGCUAAUACCGCAUAAAAACUUUAAACAAAAGCUUUAAGCUUGAAAGAUGCAAUUGCAUCACUCAAAGAUGAUCCCGCGUUGUAUUAGCUAGUUGGUGAGGUAAAGGCUAACCAAGGCGAUGAUACAUAGCCGACCUGAAAGGGGAAGCGGACACAUUGGGACGGGGACACGGCCCAAACUCCUACGGGAGAGAGCAGUACGGAAUCCUCAGCAAUGGAAGAAAGGCUGACCGUGCAACGCCGCGCGAGUGAAGAAGGUUGUCGGGUCGUGAAACUCAGUUGGUAGAGAAGAUCGUUAGUUAGUGUGGAAAGCGCAGAAAGUGACGGUAACUACACAGGAAGGGACGGCUAACUACGUG
This 497-nucleotide ribosomal RNA is filed under the name uncultured bacterium. RNAcentral describes it as "partial 16S ribosomal RNA". It matches the Rfam family "Bacterial small subunit ribosomal RNA", at positions 28 to 507 of the family's 1533-position model. The record is from RNAcentral.